Molecule: ribosomal RNA, 119 nt
Organism: Cucurbita maxima (winter squash)
Lineage: Eukaryota; Viridiplantae; Streptophyta; Magnoliopsida; Cucurbitales; Cucurbitaceae
Source: RefSeq, a predicted model, not a curated record
GGGUGCGAUCAUACCAGCACUAGGUUUUUUGAUCCCACCAGAACUCCGCAGUUAAGCGUGCUUGGGCGAGAGUAGUACUAAGUUGGGUGACCACUUGGGAAGUCCUCGUGUUGCACCCC